UUUCUUUUUGUUUGCUGCCUUCCGUAGAAGAUGUGGCUUGCUCAUGCUUGACUUCUGCCAUGGUUGUGAGGCCUCCCCAGCCAUGUGGAACUGUUUUCAGGUGCUGGUUCCAUGGCUCUUCCUGAGCCGAAAAUAAGGAAACUCCAUAGACCUUGUCCACUGGAACUCGUUCCCAUCUACCCUCCACUCUAUCCAGGGUGAUGGAUCUCUGCAGUAAGUGGAAGAGUUCUUCAUGGCCCCCAAGGUUAUAUCCAUCUAGAACUUCAGCACGUAAUUUCAUCUGGAAAUAGUGCCUUUGCGGAUAUAAGUUAGGUAAAACUGAAGAUGAGAUCAUACUGGAUUAGGAUGGGAUCUAAAUCCAAUGAAAAUGUCUUCAUAAAAAACAGGAAAGAACCCAUAGAAACACAAGGAAGAAGGUCAUGUGAAGAUGGAGGCAGAGAUUGGAGGGAUGCAGCCACCGGCCCAGGAAUGCCAGCAGCCACCCAGAAGCUGGAAGGAAAUGAGGGAUUCUCUCCUAGAACCUUUAGAGAGAACAUGGUCCUGUGAACAGCUUGAUUUUGGACUUGCCCAUAGCUUGUAUACUCUUACUUUGGAUACAAUUUUAUCCAAACUUGGCUAAACAGUUUCUCAGCCUAUGGAAAAUUUAAAAUGGAGAAGAUUCAACUCGAUUCUUACAGAUUCAAAGCAAGAAAAUGAUGGGAACAUAGGAGGAGACCAAGAAAGCCUAUAAAAAGCAAAAAUAUGAAGUGAACAUUGUGGUAGCUUUAAGAUGUUUAGUGUAGCUGCAGGCACCCUAUACACAUGAAAACCCCCAAGGGGAAUCCCCAUAUCACAGUGUAGUGUGAUAUUUGACAUUCGUGAUCAUCUAGAGAUGUACAGAAAAGGUGAAUCUGUGUUCUGUAUAUUCUGCCUAAGGCAAAGAAAUGUUUAGCUCUCUUUAAAAUAGUUCCAUAAUUUUUUCUAAAAAGCUUUGCUUGAAAACUGUAAGCUUCCCAUAUCUGGAGCAUUUCACUUUAAAUAUUUGGAUAAAUAUGUUAUCUUCUUACUUGGACAUUUCAUGUGUUUAGGGAUUGUCUUCUAAAUUCUUCCUAAUUCAUAUAGCUGCUAACACUUCCCGCAGAGCUAAACCAUUACAGAUAUGAAAUAAAGACCUAUUGAUUUGACUUACUUUUACUUGUAAAACCUUCUGAGUGUUAUAACCUCAUUUAAUCUUUCAGCAUUUACAGUUUCAAGAGUUUGUGUCACAAUUAGAAGAAUUCAGCUGCACCUCCAAGUGACAGCAGUUGCUCUGGUUGGUGGGUGAUCUCAGGAGGCUUGAGAAUUGCUUUGUCUGUGAGGGAAGUAAGACAUUUUCAGAGCCCCACUUUAGAAGGUGUGAACUGGCUAGAUAAUGAACCCCAGGGCUAACGCUGCUAUAGCAGUGGGAAGGAGGUGAUGGGUUUUCAGUUUGGACCUCAAACAUCAAUACCCUCCUGGUACGGGGAGGAACAGAGUCCCUCCUUUACUUCUCCAUUAGAAAGAAUGAGAUGGCAAGACAAUGAAACAGGCAAAGUGAACAGAGAUGCAAGACAAAAUUCAGGUGAGAGAGCCAGAGCAUCACUCAGCCAUUCCUGACAUGUAAAACAGGCAACUAGAAAUUUGCAGAAAGGAAGCGAAGUCUCCAUAAAGAUGUUUUUAAAGUGAGCUUGAAGUAUUUGGAGACAAUUCAGUGUUACAUAAAAUCUGCAAAUCUCUGGAUAAAGAAGCAGAGAUCCCAGCAUGGGACAAAUGGAGCCUCAAAAGUGGGAAGAAGACAGAGAAGACCAGGGCAGAAUGCAUCUCUUCCUUUCUCUUGGCUUUCCUGGAUAAGGACUGCAUCAUUCCUGUGGAAGGACAGGCCAUCAGCUCCGAAACACUGUAUGUAUUUUCCAGUAUAUACUGCUAGCUGUGUGAUGUUGGGAAAAUUUGUUACCCUGUCUAACCCCCACUUCCCUCAUCUGUAAAAUGGAAAUAAUGAUAGUACCUACCUAUCUCAUAGGUGGCAACUACAAGGGGCAGCACACUCAGGGAAUUAAGGAAGUUUCAGUGAACAUCAACUUUAUGAACACAGUGUUCAUAAAGGCAGGUCAGUGCAGUGGUUUGGGAGCCAGGAGAAGCACGUGGGCCGGAGUGUGCCUGCAGGAGACAAGGUCAGAGAUGUUGCUAAUAAUGGAGAAUAAAGGAUGCAUUCUCAUUACUGA
Molecule: long non-coding RNA, 2219 nt
Filed under: Homo sapiens (human)
Lineage: Eukaryota; Metazoa; Chordata; Mammalia; Primates; Hominidae
Description: non-protein coding ARLNC1:3
Source: RNAcentral